AAAGAACCCCGGUGAGGGGAGUGAAAUAGAACCUGAAAUCACACGACCCGCAAACAGUCGGAGCGCAAUGGGAGGAGUAAUCUUUUCAGGCGUGACGGCGUACCUUUUGCAGAAUGAGCCUGCGAGUUAUUAGUGUUGGCAAGGUUAAGCGUUUAAGACGCGCAGCCGGAGGGAAACCGAGUCUGAAUAAGGCGUCGAGUCAGCAUUAGUAGACCCGAAACCGCGUGAUCUAGCCAUGGCCAGGGUGAAGUGUUGGUAACACAACAUGGAGGCCCGAACUCAUUGAUGUUGAAAAAUCUCGGGAUGAGCUGUGGUUAGUCCGGUGAAAUGCCAAUCGAACGCAGAGAUAGCUGGUUCUCCCCGAAAUGCAUUUAGGUGCAGCGUCAGGCGUUGUUCUUUGGGGGUAGAGCACUGAAUGGGCUAGGGGGCUUACCCGCUUACCGAACCCAACCAAACUCCGAAUACCGUUGUAUAAGAUAGGCAGUGACACGGCGAGUGAUAAGAUCCGUCGUCAAAAGGAGAACAAUCCAGAUCGACAGCUAAGGACCC
RNAcentral lists this ribosomal RNA (549 nucleotides) under Pycnococcus provasolii. Its description in RNAcentral is "partial Bacterial large subunit ribosomal RNA". It matches the Rfam family "Bacterial large subunit ribosomal RNA", at positions 518 to 1048 of the family's 2925-position model. The record is from RNAcentral. Lineage: Eukaryota; Viridiplantae; Chlorophyta; Pseudoscourfieldiophyceae; Pseudoscourfieldiales; Pycnococcaceae.